GAUGAAGAACGUAGCGAAAUGCGAUAAGUAAUGUGAAUUGCAGAAUUCAGUGAAUCAUCGAAUCUUUGAACGCACAUUGCGCCCCUUGGUAUUCCGGGGGGCAUGCCUGUUCGAGCGUCAUUUCAACCCUCAAGCUCAGCUUGGUAUUGAGUCCAUGUCAGUAAUGGCAGGCUCUAAAAUCAGUGGCGGCGCCGCUGGGUCCUGAACGUAGUAAUAUCUCUCGUUACAGGUUCUCGGUGUGCUUCUGCCAAAACCCAAAUUUUCUAUGGUUGACCUCGGAUCAGGUAGGGAUACCCGCUGAACUUAAGCAUAUCAAUAAGGAGG
This 324-nucleotide unclassified non-coding RNA is filed under the name soil metagenome. RNAcentral describes it as "partial contains 5.8S ribosomal RNA, internal transcribed spacer 2, and large subunit ribosomal RNA". The stretch from base 1 to 120 matches the Rfam family "5.8S ribosomal RNA", at positions 35 to 154 of the family's 154-position model. The record is from RNAcentral.